This 406-nucleotide unclassified non-coding RNA is filed under the name Hevea brasiliensis (rubber tree). Lineage: Eukaryota; Viridiplantae; Streptophyta; Magnoliopsida; Malpighiales; Euphorbiaceae. The record is from RNAcentral.
CUAAUGUAUCUUUACAAAGAGAGAGAGAGAUGGUGAAAGGUGAUUUUUUACUUCUGAUUAUAUUUAUAUCUAUACUAUAAUUAAUAGUACAUUGGGUGGGCAACCGUUUGAAUAAACAAAAAAGCACAAAGUUAAAAGAACUAAUUAAUAAUUACUAACCCAAAAUGUAAAUCCUAAUUAUAUAUGAAAACUUAAACCAAUCUUACUCAUAAUAUAAACUCCUAAUUCUAUAUGGAAUUUUAUUUUUAUUUGCAAAUUGAAAACCUAUUACAUAUCAUUGAAUUACCAUUGACUAUUGGCUUGCAAAGAUUGAAAGUUUGUGUAGAAUAAAGUGUUGUGUAUACUAACAAGAAGCAAAGUUUAGUGGAACUCAUCCUCAACAAUAUGAAAUUGCAUGUGAAUCUAU